Molecule: long non-coding RNA, 754 nt
Organism: Uloborus diversus
Lineage: Eukaryota; Metazoa; Arthropoda; Arachnida; Araneae; Uloboridae
Exons: 3
Source: RefSeq, a predicted model, not a curated record
UCUAUUUUCUUUUCAUGGCAAUGCAUUACUGGUCCCGUUUUUGUGAGGCUACUUUUAUCUUAAGAUGGACAGCAUUUUGUCGAGUGGAUGUAAAUAACAGCUAAAUCGUUGGUGAUUUUGACCUGGAGUUUAUGGCAACUAUGACGUUAGGCGACUGCAAUGGUUUCACUCGCAUGAACAAACGGAAAGUACCCAAGGAUAAUUUGUUAAAGAAGUAUUUUGGGUGUGCAGCUUCAGAAACUGAAUUCCUUACUGAAUGGUACAUGGUAGAGAGAUUUGGCUUCAUUUACUGUCAGUCAUUUCCUCUGCUUGUACUUUUCAGUUUAGCCUGAGCCUGAAGAGUAACAACUGAAUCAACAGAAGUAUGGAUCUGUACAAUGUUUCAAGGGUUUUCAUCUGUAGAGAUUUCAUUGGGUCCCUAACUCUUGAGAAGGCUGUGGUUGCUUCCCGUAACUCAAAGGUUACAGCCGGUUUUUCAGGACUUUGUGAUUGAGAGUUAACUGUACUAUGUAGUAUUUUGUCUACACAUCUGAGGAGCAAAAGCGAACUGUGUUAGCUUUAGCUAACUGAGCUGUUAGCGAAAGAUAACAGCUCAGGCUCAUUGAUCUCUUGAAUUUACAGUGAUUGGCAUAGUUAACCUAAAUUAAUUUUUACUGUGUACUUGUUAGGUAAUUUUUAUGCCUUCUGAAACCUCUUUACACACCCUUGAUGAAAAAGUUACCCAAUUUUACUCCAUAUAGAGAUGUUUGGUGCU